CCAUUUUCGAGGCGAUUAGUUUACUAAGAGCCAAGAUGUUGGCAUCUUAGUGGCGGACGGGUGAGUAACGCGUGGGUAACCUGCCUUACACUGGGGGAUAACACUUAGAAAUAGGUGCUAAUACCGCAUAACAGAGGGAGUCGCAUGACUUCGUCUUAAAAACUCCGGUGGUGUAGAUGGACCCGCGUCUGAUUAGCUGGUUGGCGGGGUAGCGGCCCACCAAGGCGACGAUCAGUAGCCGGCCUGAGAGGGUGAACGGCCACAUUGGGACUGAGACACGGCCCAAACUCCUACGGGAGGCAGCAGUGGGGAAUA
Molecule: ribosomal RNA, 315 nt
Filed under: uncultured bacterium
Lineage: Bacteria
Description: bacterial SSU rRNA
Rfam family: Bacterial small subunit ribosomal RNA
Source: RNAcentral